This 506-nucleotide ribosomal RNA is filed under the name uncultured bacterium. RNAcentral describes it as "partial 16S ribosomal RNA". It matches the Rfam family "Bacterial small subunit ribosomal RNA", at positions 30 to 523 of the family's 1533-position model. The record is from RNAcentral.
AUUGAACGCUGGCGGCAGGCCUAACACAUGCAAGUCGAACGGUAGCACAGAGGAGCUUGCUCCUUGGGUGACGAGUGGCGGACGGGUGAGUAAUGUCUGGGGAACUGCCCGAUGGAGGGGGAUAACUACUGGAAACGGUAGCUAAUACCGCAUAACGUCGCAAGACCAAAGAGGGGGACCUUCGGGCCUCUUGCCAUCGGAUGUGCCCAGAUGGGAUUAGCUAGUAGGUGGGGUAACGGCUCACCUAGGCAACGAUCCCUAGCUGGUCUGAGAGGAUGACCAGCCACACUGGAACUGAGACACGGUCCGGACUCCUACGGGAGGCAGCAGUGGGGGAUAUUGCACAAUGGGCGCAAGCCUGAUGCAGCCCUGCCGCGUGUAUGAAGAAGGCCUUCGGGUUGUAAAGUACUUUCAGCGAGGAGGAAGGCAUUAAGGUUAAUAACCUUAGUGAUUGACGUUACUCGCAGAAGAAGCACCGGCUAACUCCGUGCCAGCCGCCGCCGUAA